Molecule: ribosomal RNA, 605 nt
Filed under: Rahnella sp.
Lineage: Bacteria; Pseudomonadati; Pseudomonadota; Gammaproteobacteria; Enterobacterales; Yersiniaceae
Description: bacterial SSU rRNA
Rfam family: Bacterial small subunit ribosomal RNA
Source: RNAcentral
GUCGAGCGGCAGCGGGAAGUAGCUUGCUACUUUGCCGGCGAGCGGCGGACGGGUGAGUAAUGUCUGGGAAACUGCCUGAUGGAGGGGGAUAACUACUGGAAACGGUAGCUAAUACCGCAUGACCUCGAAAGAGCAAAGUGGGGGAUCUUCGGACCUCACGCCAUCGGAUGUGCCCAGAUGGGAUUAGCUAGUAGGUGAGGUAAUGGCUCACCUAGGCGACGAUCCCUAGCUGGUCUGAGAGGAUGACCAGCCACACUGGAACUGAGACACGGUCCAGACUCCUACGGGAGGCAGCAGUGGGGAAUAUUGCACAAUGGGCGCAAGCCUGAUGCAGCCAUGCCGCGUGUGUGAAGAAGGCCUUAGGGUUGUAAAGCACUUUCAGCGAGGAGGAAGGCAUCACACUUAAUACGUGUGGUGAUUGACGUUACUCGCAGAAGAAGCACCGGCUAACUCCGUGCCAGCAGCCGCGGUAAUACGGAGGGUGCAAGCGUUAAUCGGAAUUACUGGGCGUAAAGCGCACGCAGGCGGUUUGUUAAGUCAGAUGUGAAAUCCCCGAGCUUAACUUGGGAACUGCAUUUGAAACUGGCAAGCUAGAGUCUUGUAGA